RNAcentral lists this ribosomal RNA (391 nucleotides) under Stramenopiles sp. MAST-4E. Its description in RNAcentral is "partial small subunit ribosomal RNA". It matches the Rfam family "Eukaryotic small subunit ribosomal RNA", at positions 582 to 975 of the family's 1831-position model. The record is from RNAcentral.
AUUCCAGCUCCAAUAGCGUAUAUUAAAGUUGUUGCAGUUAAAAAGCUCGUAGUUGGAUUUCUGGAUGAAGCGACCGGUCGGGCGUUGAUUCGUCUGCACUGGAGUCGGUUUUGGCCAUCCUCUAGGAAAGUGCGUCUGGUAUUAAGUUGUCGGGCGUAUGAUCCUGGUCUUUUACUGUGAAAAAAUUAGAGUGUUUAAAGCAGGCCUUCGCCUUGAAUACAUUAGCAUGGAAUAAUAAGAUAGGACUUUGGUCUAUUUUGUUGGUUUGCAGACCGAAGUAAUGAUUAAUAGGGAUAGUUGGGGGUAUUUAUAUUCCGAUGUCAGAGGUGAAAUUCUUAGAUUUUCGGAAGAUAAACUUAUGCGAAAGCAUUUACCAAGGAUGUUUUCAUUA